Molecule: ribosomal RNA, 679 nt
Filed under: uncultured Bacilli bacterium
Lineage: Bacteria; Bacillati; Bacillota; Bacilli
Description: bacterial SSU rRNA
Rfam family: Bacterial small subunit ribosomal RNA
Source: RNAcentral
AACUUUCUUACACCGAAUGCUUACAUUCACCGUAAGAAGUUGAGUGGCGGACGGGUGAGUAACACGUGGGUAACCUGCCUAAAAGAAGGGGAUAACACUUGGAAACAGGUGCUAAUACCGUAUAUCUCUAAGGAUCGCAUGAUUCUUAGAUGAAAGAUGGUUCUGCUAUCGCUUUUAGAUGGACCCGCGGCGUAUUAACUAGUUGGUGGGGUAACGGCCUACCAAGGUGAUGAUACGUAGCCGAACUGAGAGGUUGAUCGGCCACAUUGGGACUGAGACACGGCCCAAACUCCUACGGGAGGCAGCAGUAGGGAAUCUUCCACAAUGGACGCAAGUCUGAUGGAGCAACGCCGCGUGAGUGAAGAAGGUCUUCGGAUCGUAAAACUCUGUUGUUAGAGAAGAACACGAGUGAGAGUAACUGUUCAUUCGAUGACGGUAUCUAACCAGCAAGUCACGGCUAACUACGUGCCAGCAGCCGCGGUAAUACGUAGGUGGCAAGCGUUGUCCGGAUUUAUUGGGCGUAAAGGGAACGCAGGCGGUCUUUUAAGUCUGAUGUGAAAGCCUUCGGCUUAACCGGAGUAGUGCAUUGGAAACUGGAAGACUUGAGUGCAGAAGAGGAGAGUGGAACUCCAUGUGUAGCGGUGAAAUGCGUAGAUAUAUGGAAGAACACCAGUGGCGA